AACAGUGAAGAGCAAAGGUGACCGUUGUUGACUGUGUUGCUAUAGUGCGUUUAUCUCGUUUGCUUUGCUUGGCACGGCCAACUAGGAUCUUAUCCUUCGCCGUGGUUGCAUUUUGCAAGUAGUGUCUUAGUUUCUCAGGAACGAACUUGUAUCUGUGGAAUGACCCAGUUGGCUCCUUGUUUUCUACUUAAAACGAACAACAACCCUUUGUCUAGUCGUCACGGAACGAUUACGUAGAGGACGCCAACGAAUUGCGAAAUAAAAUAAAGCUCAUGAGAAACUUUCCAAACUCUGACACAACAACUCUUCCACGCAUCUCGCAGAUCGACUGUUUCCCUCAAAAUCGCUUGAAUCCGGACGAGUUUGAACAGAAACGAAGAGGAGAUAAAAUAGAAGAACACAAGAAUCACAUUAUGGCCCAAACAGCAACCUUGAAAGAACAGGGCUUUGGCCGGCAUGGUAAACGGACUAAUUAUACAUCGGGGAUCUUGCCUCCCAUUUCGCAGAUUUCCAUGGGGGGAAGACAACUCCCUACGGAAGUGAGUCCUAGGGAAGAAGGCUUGAAGCUCCCUCCGAUUUCCCAAGUGGCUUGUCUCGGGGGCUAUCUCGAUGAAAAACAGCUUGUUAUGAAACAGUCCAAGUCUAGAAUCAGGGACAGCGAUUCCGAGUUUGUAAGACUUUCCAAAGCUGGUGGUCAGAAAAACCUAUUGUGCUAUACAGAGGCAGAUUCCACGCCUCGCGGGCACGCCACGAACGCGAACACAUUUCCACUCUCCACUCGUUAUAACGCCGGGGUCACUUCAGAGGCGGACCCAAGAUGGCGCCCAUCGCAUUGGUCCGACUUUUCGAGGCAGAAGCACGCGAGAAGCGAUCAUAGAUUCAUUUGGAGGUAGAUUAACAUGGUGGCUGAGUCAUCCACGAACAAAGACUGAAAAAAAAGAACUUAUUCAUGGUUAACCUUAGUUUAAAAUGUACAGAUUAAAGUAUAAACGAACUAAAACACAGAUUUAGUGAGGGUAUGUGUGAUCAGAUACAGUGUACUAGAAACCUCCUAUAUGAUAUACGUUGUAAAUGGUCACAUUUUAGUGGAAUAGCUGCUAUUUGUAGCCGAACAGACACAUCUAAUCUGAAAAAAAGGUCUUUGAAGAAUUGCUUGGCUUUAAAAGCUGUUAAAAGUUGUUUUAAAAGUAGUUGAAUUUAUCAUUCCUGUGUACAUAGCAGACUGAUUCCAGUCGUUUACCGAUAUUAAACGCUCGUUUUACGCGACA
Long non-coding RNA from Stylophora pistillata, 1268 nucleotides. The record is from RefSeq and is a predicted model, not a curated record. NCBI's taxonomy places the organism in Eukaryota, Metazoa, Cnidaria, Anthozoa, Scleractinia, Pocilloporidae.